RNAcentral lists this long non-coding RNA (22255 nucleotides) under Nicotiana benthamiana. RNAcentral describes it as "long non-coding RNA (NBEN_LNC021395)". The record is from RNAcentral. Lineage: Eukaryota; Viridiplantae; Streptophyta; Magnoliopsida; Solanales; Solanaceae.
AAAAUCUAUAAAUACUCUCAAACUUCUUAAAACAUAAAAUUUUCCAUUUAAAGUCCGAAUCAAGUCAAACAAUAUCCUUCUUCUGCAAUUUUGCAGUUUAAAGCUGCCCCUAUAUUUUUCCCCUAUAUCUUUUUCUCCUCCCUCUUUCUUCCUUUCCCGGCCUCGUCGGCGGCGUUCCCUUCGUUUUCCGUCGGAUCUCCGACUUAUCCACCUUCCCUCUCCUCUCUUUAUAUCUAUCCAGAAAAAAAAAGAAAAAAAAGCUAAAAAGAAAAUCUAUUGGAAAAAAAUCAAUAUUUUCUAGGGUUUCAGUAUCUUCUAUCUCAAAAUUCUCAAUCUCAUCGAUUUUGAUUGAUAUCGGCCUUUUAUUUAUAUGAGAUUUUGUAUCUGCGAAUAAAAAGAGGAGAGGGAAGUAAAAAAAAAACAAAAAAAUCGGAAAAAGUUUGAAAAAGAAAAUUAUCUUUAUUAUUAUUAUUAUUAUUUUUUUUGCGUUGAAUAGGGAUGGCACAGGUUCAGGUGCAGCAGCAGCAGCUACAGGGUGGUGUGAAUAAUGCUGGUGGUGUCAACAACCAGUUUGUGACAUCACUGUACGUGGGUGACCUUGAUGUCAAUGUGACCGAUUCACAGCUUUAGGAUCUGUUCAAUCAGCUGGGGCAAGUUGUUUCGGUUCGGGUUUGCAGGGACUUGACUAGCCAACGGUCGCUCGGUUAUGGUUACGUCAAUUAUGGGAACCCUCAAGAUGGUUCGUAUGUUUGACUUAGCUUUGUUGUGUGUUAGCCAUAGCUUUGUUUAGCCACAUGAACGCUUAGGAAUCAUAUAGCUGCUGCAAGGGCAUUGGAAGUGCUGAACUUUACUCCUCUCCAUGGAAAGUCAAUCAGGAUAAUGUACUCAAAUCGAGACCCAACUAUACGAAGAAGUGGCAAUGGGAACAUAUUUAUUAAGAAUUUGGACAAGGCAAUUGACCACAAAGCACUACAUGAUACAUUUUCUGCAUUUGGAAACAUUCUCUCUUGUAAGGUAGCUGUAGAUUCAUCUGGCCAAUCCAAGGGCUAUGGGUUUGUGCAGUAUGACAGCGAUGAAGCUGCCCAAAAAGCUAUCGAGAAACUGAAUGGUAUGCUGCUGAAUGAUAAGCAAGUGUAUGUAGGACCCUUCGUUCGUAAGCAAGAAAGAGAUAUGGCUGUGGAUAAGACAAGAUUUACCAAUGUCUUCGUGAAGAAUUUAUCUAAAUCAACGUUAGAAGAAGAGCUCAGGAAAAUCUUUGGUGAAUUUGGUACUAUUACUAGCGUCGCAGUUAUGAAGGAUGAAGAUGGAAAAUCCAGGUGCUUUGGAUUUGUCAACUUUGAGAAUGCUGAAGAUGCUGCUAGAGCUGUUGAAGCUCUGAAUGGCUACAAAUUGGAUAACAAAGAUUGGUUUGUAGGAAGAGCUCAGAAGAAGUCAGAGAGGGAAAUGGAAUUGAAACAUCGGUUUGAGCAAAGUGCCAAGGAGGUGGUUGACAAAUCACAAGGUUUAAAUCUAUACAUAAAAAAUUUAGAUGACAGCAUUAGUGAUGAAAAGCUUAAGGAAUUGUUCUCUCCCUAUGGCACAAUCACUUCAUGCAAGGUUAUGAGAGAUCCUAGUGGGGUAAGCAAAGGAUCAGGAUUUGUUGCAUUCUCAACCCCUGAAGAGGCUUCAAGAGCGCUCUCGGAGAUGAAUGGAAAGAUGGUUGUUAGCAAACCUCUGUAUGUUGCCCUUGUGCAGCGCAAGGAAGAGAGAAGAGCAAGGUUACAGGCUCAGUUUUCUCAGAUGUGUCCAAUUGCAAUGGCAUCUUCAGUUGCUCCUCGAAUGCCGAUGUACCCUCCUGGCGGUCCUGGUCUAGGUCAACAAAUAUUCUAUGGCCAGCCACCACCAGCUAUGCUUCCCCCACAAGUAAUAAAUCGUCGUGUAUAUUCCAUUUUAACGCUCUCUUGACUUAGUACCGUUUGAAACUCAGGAUUCUCAUUUUUUGUUAUUAUGGGUCGUUUGGUAGGAGGUAUUAGAAAAAAACAAUGCAAGCAUUAACAUUCUGGUUUUGGAUAUCAGCAGCAACUUGUACCUGGAAUGAGGCCUGGUGGGGGACCUAUGCCUAAUUUCUUUAUGCCCGUGGUUCAGCAAGGGCAGCAAGGUCAACGUCCCGGAGGCCGACGUGGAGGUGCUGUUCCAUUGCAGCAGGGACAACAGCCAGUUCCAUUGAUGCAGCAACAGAUGUUUCCAAGGGGGCGUGGUUUCGGUAUCCUCCAGGACGUGGCCUCCCCGAUGGAGCUUUUCCAGGUGUAGGUGGUGGCAUGUUCUCUUAUCCCAUAUGAUAUAGGUGGCAUGCCUGUCCGUGAUGCAGGAACCUUUGAGGGGAAGUAUUGGAUAUCAUAAGCUUCGAGUAGGUAUUCAUUGUUGGGGAGAAUGGAUGUGACAGGAGGGCGCUUUUGGGAAAAGAUAGUUGGAGGAUGAGUGCCGGAGCUACUAGUGCGGUUGGGAAAACUAUAAUAAGCAGGUGCAUCUGGACAGUAUGGAGGAUCAUUUGGAACCAUGACCGAAGUUUGGAUGACGGUAGCGUCUGGGAAGCUAGGUGGUGGCUGGGGUGUUGUCUCAACAUUUUUACCUCUUCAAUUAACCUACUGUCCUGGUCAACCAACUGCUUUCGAGCCCCGUUAUCGGCCAACCCAGUUUUGUUGUUGUCUGCCAUUGCCUUUUGACUUUAUGUUGAAAAAGCAGUUUCAUUGUUGGGGUUGCAUUUCGUUUCAGUUUGGAGUUUCUCAAACAACUGGUUUACCAGAAGCUUUGCGCUGGUACUUUUAUUUUUAUGGCUUUUGGAUUAUUUCUUUGGUGUACUUUUUUGGUACAUAUGCUUGUGCAAGGUUUUCUUGUUGCGGAGCAGGCUUCUUCAUCAGAAAAAAAAAAAAAAGUCAAACAAUAUCCAUUUUCAAACCAAAUUUUACAGAGAUGACAUAAAACAUAUAUUAGAGUUGUAUCGGGCAUAGGAACCAAAAUACGGGACCGAUACCACCGGUUUCUAAUCAGAUUUCUCUUCAAAUUUUCCUUAAAAAUUUUCCGAAAACGAUUAUACUCAAAAAUUCAUUUUUCGCGUUUGGGACCUCAGAAUUCGAUUCCGGGCAUAAGCCCAAGCCCCAUAUUUUUCUACGGAUCAUCUAGGACCAUCGAAUCAUGUGUUUGGGUCUGUUUACCUAAAAUGUUGAUCGAAGUCAAAGUUAUUCAUUUUAACAUAAAAAUUAGCAUUUUUCACAGAAUUUCAUAUUUAAUCUUUUCGGCUAUGCCCCCGGACAGCGCACGUAAAUCAAGGUGACUCAAAAUGAGGUUUUUGAGGCCUCGUAAACAAAAAAAAAAUGAUUAAAAAUAGAUGAUAUCUGUCACUCCCUUUGUGAGGGUGUUAAAAGGAGUCAACUAAGUUAAUUUCUCAAAUAGUCACUUAAUUUAAUGAAUUUAUCUAGCAUUUUAUUUUUCUUUAUUUUAUGACAAUAAAGUCAUUCAACUAUUAUGUGAUUUCUUAAAAGGUCACGCCUGUCAAAUUAUGAUGCAAGGUACACCGAAGAAAACCAACACAAGUGUGUGAAACAAAACAAAUAGAGUCUGUCUCGGGAACAAGAGGAAACAGAGCAUCGGAAUAGAUAGAAGAGAUGCAGGGCAUAUGGAGGCCUGCAGUACUACCUCAGGAUCAUGUGGACUGAAGGGUGGCUCCCGAACUACUGCUGAUAAUCAAAUGCUGCUCCGGAAUCUGCAUAUAGUACACAGUGUCGUAUCAGCACAAUCAACCCUAUGUGCUGGUAAGUAUCCGGCCUAACCCCGGCGAGGUAGUGACAAGGCUAGAACCAAACUCCAGAUAAACCUGUGCAGUUAUAUAAUACAAUGCAGAAAAGUAAACAGGUAAUAAGAAAUUAAAGCUGGGGAAAGGGAAAAUGGUAGCAGAUAAAAUAGAAUAUCAAAGAACAAUAAGAAAACUUUAAUUUAAUAUCUAACACGGAUAUAGAGUAAUAAAGGCAACUUCAUUUUAUAUUUUAUCUUGUUGCAGGCAUGCAACCCGAUCCCAUUUCUCAUAUCUUGUGGUAGUCAUACCACCUGCUCCCAUUUCAUCAAUCUUAUGGUAGGCAUAUCACCCACUUCCAGUUCAUCAUAUCUUGUGGUAAGUGUACCACCUACUCCCAUUUCGUCAAUCUUGUGGUAGGCGUAUCGCCCGCUCCAAUUUUGUCAUAUCUUGUGGUAGGCGUACCACCCGCUCCCAUUUCAUCAAUCUUGUGGUAGGCCUACAACCUGCUCCCAUUUCUAUGUCAUCAUAUAACUACAAGAAAUCCGGCAAGGAACAAAGUAAUAUAAUAACUUCCCAGCAAGGGAACAAAGGCAAUAUAAUAAUUUCCCAGCAAGGGAACAACAAUAUCGAAACAGUCAUCUCGGCAAAGGUGAAUCAGCUGUAACCAACCUUAACUUAGCUUGUACUCAACUCAAUUAAUGAAAAUUCUCAAUCAUAUAUAAGAUCUACGAGGAUGAACAAAGUCUUUGCUCAAUUUAGUGGAUCAUCAGUUAAAGCAUCUGAAAUGCCAUUUACGAACACAACAACUUUCAGUUUAAGACUUACGGUCAUGCUCGACACCAAUGUAUAGAUACUCGUCACCAUGCCUAUACGUUGUACUCAAUAAGAAGCAAGUAUCAAAUAUGACUCAACUCCUAAUCCCUCAAGUUAAGGUUGGACCGAGCACUUACCUCGAUGCCUUGAACACUACUCAAGCCUCUAUUAUAUCUUUUACCCUUGAUUCUACUGCCAAUUCGUUUGUAUCUAAUCUUUAACUACUUAUUUACAUCAAUAAAUGCUAAAUGAAUCAAUCCUAAUGCAUGAAAAUGAGUUUCCCAAAGUUUUACCAAAAAGUCAAAAAUCGCCCCCAUGCCUGCAUGGUCAAAACCUCAGGUUCCAACCAACAUCCAAUUAUCCAUUCCCCCACGAACUCAAAUAUAUAAUUUUUUGAAAUCGGACCUCAAAUUGAGUUCCAAAUCCCCAAUUUUUAAAAAACCUAGGUUCAACUGAGACACCCAAUUUUCCCCAUGAAAAUCGUUGAUUUUAACUUGAAAACAUAUUAAAUGAUGUCAAUGAUUUAAGGAAAUGAGUAAAACCUAACUUACAAUCUAUUUGGAAGAAGAUUUGUUCUUGGAAAAUUGCCUAAGUGUAUUUGGGUUUGUGAAAAUAUGAAAAAUGAGGUUUAAAAUCGACUAAGUAUAAAGUUGCAGGUCUUAGUUAUGGGAAAUGCGAAUAGAGGUUUGCAAUUGUGAACCCCGACCUCUGCAGAUGUGGGAAACGCGAAACAGGGUUCGCAUUUUCGUGUACGGCUCCGUGAAAAUUUGUACUCUAAAUCUAGUAACUUUUAGUGCCAUGUUUCAAAUAUGUGUUAGGAAUUUGUAAAAUUGUACUGAUCUAGCUUUUAAUAAUCAAGAAUCAACACGAAGUAAGGGUGGGUUAUGGGUUGUGGUGAUAAGGGUGGAAAAGUGAUCGAAAUCACUAUUUAAAUGCAAAUAUGCAAAAGUUGUGAAAAUCAUUGAUGUGAUGGAAUAAUGUUGAAAGGGGAAAAUGAGAGAUUGUGAAACUUGUUUGGCUUUGGUUGUUCAUUCAUGUGCAUUUGAUCGUUGAUUCUAUUACUGUUUGCUAGUUGUGCAUUGCUUGAUUUUACUUGGGGUAAAGUUUGUUCAUACAUACCAGUACAAUUCAAAUGUACCGACGUCCCUUUUGCCGGGGGUGCUACAUUUGAGUUAUGAUUGUAGGUGGAUCCAUAGCAGGUACCCCAAUCCACCGACGGUUGCACUGAAGGGAGUUAAAGGAGUUAAGGGAGUUAAAGGAGCAGCUAAAGGAUUUAUUAGAAAAAUGGUUCAUACGAUCGAGUGUGUCACCGUGGGGUGCUUCAGUUCUUUUUGUCAGAAAGAAGGAUGAGUCGCUUCGGAUGUGUAUUGAUUAUCAAUAGCUCAACAAAGUCACAAUCAAGAAUAAAUAUCCUUUGCCUCGGAUAGAUGAUUUGUUCGACCAAUUGCAAGGUGCAAGGUUCUUCUCCAAAAUUGAUCUACGAUCCGGGUAUCACCAAUUAAAGAUCAAUGAGCAAGAUAUUCCUAAGACCGCUUUCAGAACUCGCUAUGGUCACUUUGAAAUCUUGGUCAUGACAUUUGGGCAAACCAAUGCCCCGACAGCUUUCAUGGAUCUUAUGAACCAGUCUUUAAGCCAUUUCUAGACUCUUUUGUGAUGUUUUCAUUGAUGACAUCCUUGUUUACUCGCAGAUCCGGGAGGAUCAUACCUAUCACCUCAGGUCAGUUCUGUAGACUCUUCACCAGCACCACUUGUAUGCUAAUUUUAAAAAAUGUGAAUUUUGGUUGGAGUCUGUUACCUUUUUGGGUCAUGUUGUUUCCAAUGAAGGGAUUCGGGUGGAUCCUCGGAAGAUUCCAGCAGUAAAAGAUUGGCCUAGACCCACGACCCCGACAAAUAUCCGUAGCUUCUUGGGUUUAGCAGGGUAUUAUCGGAGGUUUGUGAAGGGUUUCUCUACCCUCACCUACCCAUCGACUAAGUUGAUGCAAAAAGCAAUUAAGUCCCAAUGGUCCGAUGCUUGUGAAAAAAUUUUCAGGAGUUGAAAUCAAGGUUCGACACCGGUAUUGACCUUGCAGAAGGCACAGAAGGAUUUGUAGUUUAUUGCGAUGCUUUUAGGGUUGGUUUGGGGUGUGUGUUGAUGCAACAUGGGAAGGUUAUAGCAUAUGCUUCAAGGCAACUCAAAAAUCACGAGAAGAAUUAUCGGACGCAUGAUUUGGAGCUUGUGCAAUUGUAUUUGCCUUGAAAAUAUGGCGGCAUUAUCUUUAUGGGGUCCAUGUGGAUGUGUUCUCAUACCACAAGAGUCUCCAAAAAAUUUUCAAGCAGAAGGGAGCUUGUAGUUGUUGUGUUUGCCUUGAAAAUAUGGCGACAUUAUCUUUAUGGGGUCCAUGUGGAUGGGUUCUCAGACACAGGAGUCUCCAAUAUUUGUUCAAGUAGAAGGAGAUGAACUUAAGGCAACGACGAUGGUUAGAAUUGUCCAAGGAUUAUAAUAUGAAUAUUUUAUACCAUCUAGGGAAGGCGAAUGUGGUGGCCGAUGUUCUCAGCCGGAAGUCCAUGGGUAGUUUAGCUCAUUUGGGGGCGGAUCAGAGGCCCUUGGCUCGGGAGGUGUAUCAAUUGGCCAGUCUGGGGGUUUGUAUUUCGACCUCAGAUAAGAGGGAAUGUUACGGUGCAUAAUGUAGCAGAAUCUUCAUUUAUAGCGGAAGUCAAAGAAAAGAAGUUUAUCGAUCCAGCAUUGGCACAAAUAAAGGAGGCAGUUUUGAAUGACAAGACUUCGACAUUUUCACUCGGCGGCUAUAGUGUGUUAUGAUGUUAGGGUAGGCUAUGUGUUCCAGAUGUGGAUUAUCUUCGGGAGAGGGUGAUAGAAGACUUUGUAUCUAAAUAUCCGAAUUGUCAGCGAGUAAAAGCUGAGCAUCAGCGGCCCGAUGGGUUAACUUAGCUUAUGGAAAUACCGAUGUGGAAAUAGGAGAUGAUCGACAUGGAUUUCAUGGUAGGGUUAACUCGCACUUAGCGCAAGUUUGACUUAAUUUGGGUAAUAGUGGAUCGACUCACGAAAUCAACUCACUUCUUGCCAGUCAAGUCCACCGACACUGCGGAACAGUAUGCCCAACUGUAUAUCAAGGAAAUAAUAAUGCUUCAUGGCGCUCCACUCUCCAUUAUCUCAGAUCGAGGGGCCUAAUUCACAGCUAAUGUUUGGAAGAAGUUUUAGCAAGGUUUGGGUACUCAGGUAAAUCUCAGUAUGGCAUUCCAUCCACAGACUGACGGUCAAGCGGAGCGGACUAUUCAAACGCUUGAACAUAUCUUGUGGGCUUGUGUCUUGGAUUUCAAAGCUAAUUGGGAUGAUCACUUGACACUUAUUGAAUUUGCUUACAAAUACAACUUUCAUGCUAGUAUUCAGAUAUCCCCAUUUGAGGCAUUGUACGGAAGAAGGUGUAGGCCUCCGAUUGAGUGGAUUGAAGAGGGUGAGGUAGGGCUGAUAGGGCCAAAUCUCGUGUACCGGGCUAUGGAAAAAGUUAAAGUCAUUCAGGAGUGGAUGAAAACUGCUCAAAGUUGCCAAAAAUCCUAUACGGGCGUGCGUAGAAGAGAAUUAGAGUUCUAAGUAAAUGAUUGGGUAUUCUUGAGGGUAUCUCCUAUGAAGGGAGUUAUGCAGUUUGGGAAGAAAGGAAAGUUGAGUCCGAGAUAUGUCGGGCCGUAUCGGGUCGAUCAAAGGAUAGGACAAGUGGCUUAUAGGCUGGAAUUUCCCCCUGAAAUGUCAUUAGUGCACCCGGGGUUCCACGUGUCUAUGUUGAAGAGAGUGUUGGAGAUCCAUCCACCAUCGUGCCAGUUGAGACUAUCGAGGUUAAUGAAGGGUUAUCGUAUAAAGAAGUCCCGAUGGCCAUUCUUGAUAGACAAGUCCGUAAAUUAAGAAAUAAGGAAAUUGCUUCAGUCAAAGUACUAUGGCGAAGUCAACGAGUUGAAGAAGCCACGCGAGAGAUGGAAAUUGAGAUGAAAGAAAGUAUCCCUAUUUGUUUGAACAAGUCUCGUAGUAAUCAUGCGAACUCCUAUCUCUAGGCAAACUGAUAUUGUAUCCAGAUUGGUAUAAAGGCACCCCAUUUUCCCUUAAAUGCUUUACUAUUGUAACCCUUAAUAUCUAACACGGAUAUAGAGUAAUAAAGNNNNNNNNNNNNNNNNNNNNNNNNNNNNNNNNNNNNNNNNNNNNNNNNNNNNNNNNNNNNNNNNNNNNNNNNNNNNNNNNNNNNNNNNNNNNNNNNNNNNNNNNNNNNNNNNCCCCCCCAAAGUUGUGCAUAAAUUGUACGUGUUGUGAUUAUUUGAGUUAUGUGCAAAUCCUUUUGGUAAUUGAAAGUUUUGAUUACCCAUGUAACAAGUGAGCGAUUAAUGGUAGUAUAGAUUGGUAAUGAUUAUUUGAGAUGCAUAUAGUAUGUUGACGUAAUUAAAUAUAUGCACGAGUUGAGGAAAAGAAUUGUAUACCAAUUGUAGGGACAAUAGGAAAUGUAUAUUGGUGCUUGAACUAGGUUUUAUGGGCUUUUUGAGGGGUAGAUAAGUCUAAUUAUAAAGGAAACUUUGGCAAAAUUUUCUAAAAAUAUGGGAGUUAGUGAAAACUGGGAGUCUGCAUAUCACGUUUUUCAAAAUGAGCUAAUAUCCAAAAUCCUCAUUCGAGGAUGAAUGAUUUUAAGUGGGGGAGUGCCCCAGACUGAGACAGUAGCCUUGGUAAAUUGAGAUAAAAAAUGCAGUCCAUUAUGCGACCGCAUAACUGAUAUGCAGACCGCAUAGUUAUCACAUAAUUUCCUAAGGAUUUUGUGAAGGGAUGUUCUGUAGUGCAUUAUGCGACCGCAGAACGUGAAUGCGGGCCAUAUUCCUAUCGCAGACCCAAACAAUACGCCCAGCUUUUGAGAAUAUUUUGUGGUCCACUCUGCGGACCGCAUUUCAACUCUACGAUCGUAAAGUGCGAUUGCAGAUCUGACUCGGGCUCUAAUUUUUCUAAAUUUUAAUCUCGACCCCUUCUUUAAUAAAACACCCCAGCCCCUCAUUUUUACAUAUUUUCUGAACAAACUAGAGAGAGGAAUAGAGAAUUCUUGUGAGAGAAAGUUUCACACUUAUUGAUUUGAUUCUUGGAAGUCACCCAUGCGGGGAAAUAUCAAGUAAUAGCUUUCAUCUUUGACCUUGCAGGUAAAACCCCCAAUCCUUUUUCAUUGAUUUUCAUGUUUAAACAAAAUGGGAGAUUCUUAUGCAUUAAUUCUUGAAAACCUAAGUUGAUAUACGCAUGAAUGUUCUUUAAUACCAAAAAUCUAGCAAAAGGAAUUGGAUAGGAGUAAAGAUUUGCAAAAGGAGGGGGUUGAUAACCUAAAUAAGUUUAGGUAAGUAAUUGUGAGCUUCAAUUCUAAGACAUAUGAGUUAACUUGUGGACUUGAUUGUCGGUACUAGGCUAUUGGUGAGCUGAAAGUAGAAGUAAAAAGGGAAAUUCGACUCCAGGUAUGUAUGGCUAACUUUAACCUUUGUAAGGUCAGCUUGUUGUUGUACGAGUUCUUGGUAUAUGUCACUUAUGUGGAUUGGUUGUGAAUCCUUGUGAUUAAUAUGCCUUGAACGAUGUUGGUUAAGUUUCCCGAUAUGAAGGUGCAAGUAAAUGGAAGCAAACCAAGUAUGUCUAAAUGUGUUUAUGUUGUAAGAGCUGCAUAAAAAAUGAAGGAAAGAAGUCAUAAUUGAUGUAAUUGAACAACUGUGGUAAUAUUAUGUGUGGCUUGUCGUGAGCAAUUAUUGUUGUGACCUGAAUUGUCUCCGGGUUGUUGUACUUGAUGGAAAUAGUAUUUAUGUUUAUGAAACUCUUUGUGAAUUGUUGUUGUUGUUGUGUGAAUUAUGAUUGUUUGGUGGGAUCGGGUUGCGAGCCACAACACGAAGUGAUAAGGUAUGGGUAGUGGUGAUAAGGGUGGCCAAGGUAAUAAGGGUGGAAAAGUGAUCGAAAUCGCUAUUUAAAUGCAAAUAUGCAAAAGUUGUGAAAAUCAUUGAUGUGACAGAAUAAUGUUGAAAGGGGAAAAGGAGAAAUUAUGAAACUUGUUUGGCUUUGGUUGUUCCUUUCAUGUGCAUUUGAUCGUUGAUUCUAUUACUCUUUGCUAUCUAUGCAUUGCUUGAUUUUACUUGGGGUAUAGUUUUUUCAUACAUACCAGUACAAUUCAAAUGUACUGGCAUCCCUUUUGCGGGGGGCGCUACAUUUGUGUUAUAAGAUUGUAGAUGGAUCUACAACAGGUGCCCAGUCCACCGGCAGUAGCACUCCUUCACUUCUAGUCAGCUGAGUUGGUGACCCCCUUUCUUUUCGGGGCCCUGCGGGGCUCAUGUUGCCUUCUUCCGGAGUUUUAUUUUGAUCUUUGUGUAAGAUAUAGCCGGAGCCUUGUUACAGGUAAGUAUUGUAUCUCCCUUUUUAUAUCCUUAGAGGCUCCGUAGACAGGAAAUGUUUGUUAUGAAUUUAUUUAAAUAUGUACUUGGUAUGUUGGGUGAUGUAAAUUUGAAACCACGCAAAGUAACCUUGUAUGUCAUGUAUGCCUCGUAAGAAGAUGUUUAAUUUAUAAUGGCUAAUUCACUUAGUUAAUGAGUAAUGAAAACAGGGGGUAACACGUGGGAUAGGAAAGGUACACAGGUCCGCUUGAUUGGGGCUACCCAGUCGAGCGCCAAUCAUGUCCCUCAGUUCUGGGGCGUGACAUUGCGAACCCUUGAUAAAUUCCUAACUAUCGCAUUUGCGACCUUUGGCGAAAAGGAAAACUUCGCAUUUGCGAUCUCAAACGUCGCAUUUGCGACUAGCCUUCACAUUUGUGCACACAUUGAUCGAAUUUGCGAUCAGGACUGCCCAGGUCUCAUACUCGCAUUUGCAAUGCAUGACUCGCAUUUGCGAGACCUACUCGCAAUGCGAAUCCAGCAGAUCUAAAAUACCAUCAAUUUUUCAAAGUUAAAAAAUGCACCCGUGGCUUAUCCAAAACUCACGCGAGCCCUCGAGGCUCCAAACCAAAUAUACACACAACCUCAAUAAUAUCCUAUGGACUUGUCUAUGCAAUCAGAUUGCCAAAAUAACAUCAUAAACAUCGGAUUAAACCUCAAAUCCAUGAAUUCUUUCAAACUUCUUAAAACAUUAAAUUUUCCAUUUAAAGUCCGAAUCACGUCAAACGACAUCCGUUUUCAAUCAAAUUUAAUAGAGAUGACUUCAAACAUAUAAAAGAACUGGGCCGGGCGCCGGAACCAAAAUAUGAGUCCGAUACCAUUGGUUUCUAAUCAGAUUUCAUUUCAAAUUUUCCUUAAACUUUUUCACAAAAUAAUUUUACUCAAAAAUUCAUUUUCAGGGGUUGGGACCUCGAAAUUUGAUUCCGGGCAUACGCCCAAGUCCCAUGUUUUUCUGCAGAUCCUCCCAGAUCGUCGAAUCAUGGGCCCGGGCCCGUUUAUCUAAAAUGUUGGUUGGAGUCAAAUUUAUUCAUUUUAACAUAACAAAUUAGUAUUUUUCACAGAAUUUCAUAUAUAAGCUUUCCGGCUAUGCACCUGGACUAUGCACGCAAAUCAAGGCGAUUCUAAAUGAGGUUUUUGAGGUCUUGAAAAUAUAGAAUUUGAUUAAAAAUAGGUGAUGACCCUUUGGGUCAUCAUAGAAGCUGUCACUCCCUGUGUGAGGGCGUUAAAAGGAGUCAACUAAGUUAAUUUCUCAAAUAUUCACUUAUUUUGAUGAAUUUAUCAAGCAAGUUAUUUUUCUUUAUUUUAUGACAAUAAAGUCAUUCAACUAUUACGUUAUUUGUUAAAAGGUCACGCCUGUCGAAUUAUGAUACAAGGUACACUGGAGAUUUAAAUAUACAUUGUUAGUUGAAAUUGCAUCCGCAAAAUAUGAAACUUUUAUGAACUACAACUGACAUUUUUAUGAAAGAAUUACGGCUCUUGUCACUUGGCCUAAUAGCCCAAUCGAAAAUAGUCCAGAUUUGAAGCUCUUACCCUAUUUAUCGCGUGUUGUACAUAACUUAAAAGAAUCUUUUCAGCCUUUAGCCCAGUACUAAAGACACACUUUUUGGUUUUUUUUCUUCUUUCUUCAUUCUCAGCACACCAAAUUCUCUAUCACCGCUUCGCGCUUCUUUCUUUCCAACCCACAUAGAUCCCUCAUCCAAUCCCCCGCUAUUCCCCNNNNNNNNNNNNNNNNNNNNNNNNNNNNNNNNNNNNNNNNNNNNNNNNNNNNNNNNNNNNNNNNNNNNNNNNNNNNNNNNNNNNNNNNNNNNNNNNNNNNNNNNNNNNNNNNNNNNNNNNNNNNNNNNNNNNNNNNNNNNNNNNNNNNNNNNNNNNNNNNNNNNNNNNNNNNNNNNNNNNNNNNNNNNNNNNNNNNNNNNNNNNNNNNNNNNNNNNNNNNNNNNNNNNNNNNNNNNNNNNNNNNNNNNNNNNNNNNNNNNNNNNNNNNNNNNNNNNNNNNNNNNNNNNNNNNNNNNNNNNNNNNNNNNNNNNNNNNNNNNNNNNNNNNNNNNNNNNNNNNNNNNNNNNNNNNNNNNNNNNNNNNNNNNNNNNNNNNNNNNNNNNNNNNNNNNNNNNNNNNNNNNNNNNNNNNNNNNNNNNNNNNNNNNNNNNNNNNNNNNNNNNNNNNNNNNNNNNNNNNNNNNNNCCACCCGCGCAGUUCUGCCAUCAAUGGCUCAAAGAACGCUCGGGCUCCUACUCCGUCGUCUAUGGUGGCAAGCAAAAGAAUAUUGAAAUUUUUUGAAAUUGGGUUUGACUCUUUACAAUUUGAAACCCAAUGUCCGUCGAGCUCCGAGGAGAACAGAUCAAAAGCUAAAUCAAUCUUCUACAUGAUGAAGCAGAAAGCUCCAGACUUGCUUGUUCUUGAGCUUGUUGACCUUCUUGGCUCAUUGCAAGUAAUUGAUUCCAGUGGUAUAUAUGUUGUCCUGCUUGAAGUCUCGAAUCUGAAAUUGGGUGUAUCGUACCUGUGCAUUGAAUUCCGAAUCGUAGGCACAAAAUUUCUAACCUAUAGGCGAGUUGAAUCAUCCAAUACCUUCUACUACAACUCGAGGCUUGCAUAAAAAUCAUAACUAUGUAGCAGUUUAUAUAAAUAUUGUAUAAUUGUGUAUAAUUGUGCAUACGAAUAUACAAAUAGCUCUUAUACACUAUUAUAUAUAUUUAUACAAGUUAUACAGUAUUGUACAAUUGUGUAUAAAUGUGUAUAUUUGUGUAUAAUAUUAUAUAAUUAUAUAUUUUUUUUCAGUUUAUAAGGAUGUAUAUACAUUGUUAGUGUGUAAGAGGCCUCUAUGGAAGUUUGACACUUCCUUCUCUUCUUCUUUUGCAUGUAUGUGCUGUAUAAAAAGGAUUUGUACGUGUUGGAGGGAUUCUACAAUUCAUUUACCAAGUUUUUAUUUUUAUUUUAUCAUGUUGGAUUGCUUCAGCAAUUGCACAUAAUAGUGUAUAAAAAUAACUGGUUGUAUAAAGAGGGAGCAAUAAUCGUAAUUGAUUGAGUGAAAUAAAGUUGUCUUUAGGGAAUUAGCUUAUUUUUUUGGGCUAUAGAUUUGCAAAGUGGUAUCUAAGCUAUUAUUUUGCAAGUCAGGUGUGCUAGUCAUAUUUAUGUGAAAUUAUCUCAUUUUUAAUUUAUGUUUUAUGCUAUUUUGUUUCCGGUAUUUUAUUUUAAUUAAUUUCGUCUAAAUUUAAUUUUUUUAAGAAUAUCAAAUACAAGAGCCAGCUUUUCAUAAAACCAUCAGGAGUGCAUUUAAUUGUUGGAUGGUGAAGUUGAUGGACAGAUUUUACUUCAAAUUCUUUAACGUUUUGUGGCUGGACAAAUUUUACUUCAUACGACCAAAACUCAAAAACUUGAGAUAAAAUGGAUAUUCUAUACUCCAAAUAAGCCGCCCAAAUUGUUGAAUUAUGACCUGUUUAUUAACAUGAAAUGACCUAUAAGACUCUCGGCUCAAAAUAGUGCAACCCAAUAGAUCAAAUGUAUUCCAAAUCCAAACAUACAAAAUCAAAUUUGGAGAUUGACAAUAAUUAUAAAGAACUUAAGCUAAUACUUAAAGAAGAAUAUAUUAGUAGCUUUUAAUUUCUUUUCUUAUCUCAAAAAACAAACUAACAUUGAGGAAAGUUUGGUGAUGUUGGGACUUGGGCGGCUUAAAUUAUGUCCCAUCAUUUGACUCAUUUUAAUCUAAUUCGUCAUAAAUUACAGGUUGCAUCAUAUAUAUGGACCCCAUAAUCAUAUAUCUCUCUACAACAAUAUCUCUACAAAAUCAGUGACGAAGCCAGAAAUUUUUUGAAUGGUGUUCAAACUUGAAAUAAGUAAAAAAAAAAUCCGACAAAUGAUGUUCAAUAUAUAUUAUGUACCUCUAAAACUAGAUAUUUUACUUAUAUAUGCAAUAUAAUUUUUCGACAAAGGGUGAUCAAUUGGCCACCCUAAGAUAAGUGUGGCUUCGCCCCUGUAUGUAACAACUAUUCACUAUAAAAGUCAUGUUUAUCUCGGAAUCAAUUCUUUUGUUAUGUUAUAAUAUAUGUCCUUUAUAACAGCGUUUUACUAUAGCAGCUAAAAGAAUUUGAAACAAACGAGUUUGUUAUACUAAGGUUUGACUGUACAUUGUUAUUUUCAAAAUAAAAUGGAUUUUCGGUGCACUUUGUACCAUAAUCCAGCAGGUAUGACCUUUUAAGUAACUAAGUAAUGGUUGAGUAACUUUGUUGUUAUAAAAUACAGUAAAACAUUAACUUUGCUAGACAUAUUCAUUGAAUUGAGUGAUCAUUUGGGAACUAAUCAUAUUAUAAUUAAUCAAUUAAUAUUUUUCCCGACCUUGCGUGAACACCGAAUAUCUUAUGCAUUAGAUAGAUGAUCAACUUUUUGAAAUUUUUUAUCUUUCAUUCCAUAAAGCAAGAAAUUAAUUCAUUACUGAUACAUCGUUAACUAUAUUUUAGCCCUUAUUUAUAAGUAAAACUAAACUAACUCCAUACCAAAAGGAAACAGGUGUUCUUAGUUCGGAACUAGGCUAAAAUGGAGGAGCAGUGGUAGGUUCAAAUUAGUUUCAAUCUAGUUUGUUGAAUACUUGGUUCUGUUACCUUUCAAGUCUUGUUUCUGUUGUAUCAAUCCAUCAUUUAGUUAGUUUGAAGGUAUGGGUAUAUUAGCUUGAAUUUCAGUCAUGAAGAAGCUAAAUACUUGAGUAUAGGGUACUUGUUUGCGAAAUGAGGCAAGAGUAUCAGCAUGAGUAUUUGCGAAAUUAUGCUGCUGCUGCCCAAUCCUUUUUGUUGCUGCAUUUUUCAUCCAAAUAACACAUUCUUUGCUUGUUCCAAUAUGUUCCUGAUGUUACUACAUUGUGGAUGCAUGUACCACCUGGAGGCUUUCUAGGAAUGAAAUCUGGAGCAUCCAACUUGCUCUUUAGUUUUCCAGUCGAUUUAUUUUCAUGUUUUGUCAUCAGAUGGGCAUCCUUGAUAACAUUUUCCAUGCGAGGGCUGGAAAACUGCAGCACUAUAGUGUUGGAAUUGAGUGUGACACCUGAAAUCUGCUGCUAUUCAUGUCCUACUGAAAGUUCAAUCUCCUUCAUGCCUACUGGUAGUUUGGUGAUCUGGUGCGGUGCUGAAGAUAGUUCCUUUUUGUCAUCCUUCAAAAGUUGCUGAGAGGUCAAUGUAGGCGAUGCAUUCUAAUUCUACUCACUCGGCACAAACACAUGAGUGUUUGGGCUACUUGACAGAACAUUAACAUAAGUGUUGUCCUGUUCAUGAUGCAUCUUCAAAGUUGUAUCUUGCACCUACUGCACCUUCGUGUAUUUCUUCCUUGUUGCUGCCUUUGAGCUUGCUAUAUUAAAUUAGUUUGUCCCUGAAUUGUUUUCAAUUAGCUGCUACUAUCCUGAAGUUGGUGCUGCUUUAUGUCGAUCAUGCACGGAAAUGGCAGCAGAAGUGUUCACCUGUUGCUCCUCUGCUUCACACUCAAUUUGAUCUGCCCAGAUUUUAAUCCUUGGCAGCAUUGGAUCAAAAGUUUUCUCCUCUUGUUGAAUUGUUAUUUCAUUGAUAAUCUCCCUCAAAUCUUGACUUCUGUCCUUCAUCACUUCCUUAUCAUUACCUGUAGAUAGUAGAAGUUGCCCAGAACCACCACUAUGUGAGCCAAACAGCUCGACAAUUUGUGAAGGGAUUUCUUGCGCCAAUGUAUUCAAAGUGACCAAAGGUUUCUUGAUCAUGGGCAUCAUGACCACCUGAGUGUCCUUGAUGAUUUUCUCAACUUGAGGACUAGAAAAAUGCAUCCUGGAGGGGCUAAACAUAGGUAUACGAACACCUUUCAGAUUGCCAUUGGGCUUAUCUCUAUUGCUACUGCUGGAAACUGGAACGACUGUCCAAUCUCCUGGUUUUGUAUUGUGUACUGCUGCCUGCCCAAUAGCUUCUGCUUCCUUAGUAGCCUGUUCCACCCUCUGAAUAGCUGCUGAUUUUUCAAAUGGAGCAACAGGUGCAAAAUCACCCAUAUUAACAUGCCUUGAUGCAACUUGAUUCAUAAUUUCAAUACAAUAGCUGCCUCAAAAUUUGAACUUACAGAAGCUGGAGUCUUGAGUACUUGUGCAGUAGCUUCAACUAUAUCUGUUCCCUUCUUCUUUGCACUUUGUACCUGCUGAAUCUCUGUCUGCUCCUGUCUAACAUCAACUGCCCAAUAAUUGGUUCGACAUCUGUAGCAUCUGCACUACCGAAAAAUCUCGUCUGCAGCAGUAGUUUUGAUAAACCCAAUAUUAAUUCGACUAUCAGUUGUAUUUAGAGCAACAUUAGCCUCUAAUUGUGAAUCUAUAGGACCUGGGCGUGUUUCAACUUUGUCACCUUGCCCCAACUCUGCUACUGCUGCAUUAUUUUUGCAAAAAUAUCCUCAAUCAUGUCUUGCAUGUGUCUAGUAGAGAAUGUUAUUGUCUCAUAGUGUUGCUUUAAGUUUUCCCAUAGAUGUGUGAUGAGAUCUACUUACCGGAGUUUGAGCAUGACAGAUAUUCCAGGGCCACUGCAUUCAGAAAUUGCUUAAGGAGAUUUUUAUUAUUUUUUAUGGCAUCUUUUACGUUAUAGUUGUUUAAUAGUAAUGUCGAGUUUUCUUUUAUUGCCAUUAUAUUUUUUAUUUUGCAUCUGAAAAUGUGUGUUAUAAAUCAAAAAUUCAAAAAUAGAGAUUUUGCAUUUUAUAUUUCCGUUGGAAGUUUUCUUUGGAAUACUAAUUUUAGGAAUUAAAAAAUAAUUCAUUUGAGGUAGUUUUUCCUUUCGGCAAUGAAUAUCUAGAACUUAAAAUAAAAAUUGAUUAUAUUUCCUUUUAAUGCAUUAAGACCACUAAAAAUUCAAAAAAAGAGAAGAGAAUUUCCUUGUAGUACCUCUUUAAAAGUUUUUUUAAGGUAUUAAUUCCAAAAUCCAAAAAGAUGUUCUUUUGAGGUGUUUCUUCGGGGAAUUAGUGAAAAAUGAUUUUUUUUUAAUUUUUCAUUAGAACUUUAGGAUAUUGUACAUAGGAAAAUGCGUACUUUAUAUUUUGUUUAUCAUUAGAAUUUCUUCUUUAGGAAAUCCAAAUUGAAAUCUGAAAAAAUUAUGUUGCUUGUUUUGAAACUCAGGAUAUCAAAUGAAAAUUUAAAAUAUUUUUCUGUGGUUUAUUCAUUAGAUUUUCUUCCUAAAAAAAGUCAAGAAAAAUAUUUUUCGCUUCUAGAAUUUUUCCUUGAUAGAGUAUUUGUUUCAAAAAGAAAAAAGAAGGAAAAAAAACAUGCCCGUCGAGCUUGAGUUUGGAAUAGGUUAUGGAACAUUAAGUCUAGAAAAGAAAAAAAAAGAGAAUUGCUUCUUCUAUUUCACUUUUCUCAUCAGAGUGGUCAUUAAAGUACAAAAAAAAAAAAGAGAAUGUCAGUUUGUUUAUCUUAUUCCCGAUCCUCCAGAAUUACGCAAAGAUCUGAUUCAUACGGGGUCAUGAUACGUAAGCAAACUACAUAGGGUUCGAUCGAAUCAUUUUGUUUUAUUAAAAAAACAAAGAAAAAGUAAGAGAAAAGAAAAAAAAGAUAAAAGGGUGUAAUUAUGGGACAUGAAAUUUAGAGGAAAGAAAAGAGUGAUAAAUAGAAAAAGAGGAAGGAAAAUGAUCAAACAAGUGCCAGAAAAGAAAAGAAAAAGAGAGGUUGAAAUGAACAAAUUGGGAUGAUGCCAUAUGACCUUCAUACCCUCGAAGUUAUGUUAGACCGGUAACUGCGACUAGGUGCAUUGCACGCAAUGUGAUAUUUGAGCUGUUUAAUGGCCUAACGCUAAUAUGAUGGAUUCAUUUUGUUAUACUCAUAGCAGAAGGGUGGUUGGUUUGUGGAUUAAAGUAGUAACUCUCCUCUACAACACAAAGUCAAAGGCAAUGGCGGACAACGACAUAACUGAAUUGGUUGAUACCGGGGCCCAAAAGCAGUUGGUUGACUAGAACAGUGGGUUGAUUGAAGAGGCAAAAAUGUUGAGACAACACAUGACAAAAAUGUAUCAGGAUUAGAUGACCGGGACAUAAACCACCCCCGCCACCAUCCAGCUGCUUAGAUGCUUCCCUUCUCCAAACUCCGAUCAUGGUUCUGAAUGAUCCUCCAUACUCUCUAGAUAUACCCACUUACUAAAGUUUUCCCAACCACCCUUGUAGCUCCGUCACUUGCUCUCCAACUAUCCCCAACAAUGAAUAUUUACUCAGAGCUCAUGAUAUCCAAUACUAUCCCGCAGAGGUGGCCCACAAGGUUCCUGACUCGUACAAGCAGAGACUGCAGGAUGAGCCUCAUGUUGAGAAUGAAAAGUUCACAGGAAAAGAAGAGCAGAAUGGAAUACCCAGAGGUUGGAGGGCAUAAGACCGUCCUUGAAGAACAAGCAAGGAACGGAAGACCAGGGUAAUUAUUUCAGUCAUUUGGUCCCCGCCCUGGGAAAACCUUUCAAUGAUGUGUUAAAAAUAGGGGAGCAAGUAGAAGAGGGAAUCAAGUCAGAAAAAAUCAUGAGUGGUUUGAAAGCCAUUCAGAACAUCCAAGUAAGCUUCGGCGGAAGAAAGAGCAAUAGAAAAGAUGAUCAGCAUUUUAAGCCUCGAUAUCGUCCUCGUGGAUAUCCUUGCAUACCAGAUGAUCCUCCCCAAGGCUGCUUCGCUCCAUCAAGCUCCCAAAAUCGUACAUCACUUUCCCCGUAUCCAGCUCCACAGAAUGCCUACCUGCCCCCACGUGCAUAACGAAAACCUCCCGAAUCAAGUUUCCAGCCACGGCAAGCAUGUAAGAAUGAGAGGCCACUGAAAAACGAAAAGGCUUUAACCCCUAUCAGAGUAUCAUAUGCUAGUUUGUUCCAAAGGUUGAAGCAAUGAGACAUGUUGAAGACAAUUUAGAUAAAAAUGCCAAACCCUCUAUCAAAGAAGUUUGAUGUUUCUCAAAGGUGCGCAUAUUGCUCAGAUGCCCUGGGGCAUGACAAAGAGAAGUGUUGGACAACGACAAACUGAAUUGGUUGAUAUCGCGGCCCAAAAGCAGUUGGUUGACCAGAACAGUGGGUUAAUUGAAGAGGCAAAAAUGUUGAGACAACACAUGGAGAAAUGUAUCAGGCUUAGAUGACCGGGACAUCACCACCCCCCCCACCACCCAGCUGCUUAGAUGCUUCCCUUCUCCUAACUCCGAUCAUGGUUUCGAAUGAUCCUCCAUACUCUCUAGAUAUACCCGCUUACUAAAGUUUUACCAACCACCCUUGUAGCUCCGUCACUUGCUCUCCAACUAUCCCCAACAAUGAAUAUUUACUCAGAGCUCAUGAUAUCCAAUACUAUCCCGCAGAGGUGGCCCACAAGGUUCCUGACUCGUACAAGCAGAGACUGCAGGAUGAGCCUCAUGUUGAGAAUGAAAAGUUCACAGGAAAAGAAGAGCGGAAUGGAAUACCCAGAGGUUGGAGGGCAUAAGACCGUCCUUGAAGAACAAUCAAGGAACGGAAGACCAGGGUAAUUAUUUCAGUCAUUUGGUCCCGGCCCUGGGAAUUUCAAUGAUGUGUUAAAAAUAGGGGAGCAAGUAGAAGAGGGAAUCAAGUCAGGAAAAAUCAUGAGUGGUUUGAAAGCCAUUCAAAACAUCCAAGUAAGCUUCGGCAGAAGAAAGAGAAAUAGAAAAGAUGAUCAGCAUUUCCAGCCUCGACAUCGUCCUCGUGGAUAUCCUUGCAUACCAGAUGAUCCUCCUUAAGGCUGCUUCGCUCCAUUAAGCUCCCAAAAUCAUACAUCACUUUCCCCGUAUCCAGCUCCACAGAAUGCCUACCUGCCCCCACGUGCAUAACGAAAACCUCCCGAAUCAAGUUUCCAGCCACGGCAAGCAUGUAAGAAUGAGAGGCCACUGAAAAACGAAAAGGCUUUAACCCCUAUCAGAGUAUCAUAUGCCAGUUUGUUCCAAAGGUUGAAGCAAUGGGACAUGUUGAAGCCGAUUUAGAUAAAAAUGCCAAACCCUCUGUCAAAGAAGUUUGAUGUUUCUCAAAGGUGAGCAUAUUUCUCAAAUGCCCCAGGGCAUGACAAAGAGAAGUGCUAGAGUCUAAAGAAAGCAAUUUAUAAGCUUAUCGCAUAUUACUCAGAUGCCCUGGGCAUGACACAGAGAAGUGUUGGAGUCUAAAGAAAGCAAUUCCAAAGCUUAUUGAUGCAGGUGACAUUGUCGUGGAAAAUCCAGAUGUAGCAGACACUAGCCAAAGUCCAUCGCUUGUGCAUAAUAAGAUGCACAUGUUGGAAUGUGAGAAUUCUUCUGGGCGCCUCGGAGGCACGAGUGCUGCUAAGCUUUCAGCGCUAUCAGAGGUGGAUCUUCAGAAUGAGCUGGCGAAAGGAACCCAAAAGCAAUCUGUUAAGAACAAUGUGAUGAAGGCUUGUGAAGUGCCUAAAGUUAUUGAUGUGAAACCUAGUGGCUACUAUGUCGUGAUGGGUAAUUGGGAAGACGAUCAUUUUCUUGGUCAGCCAGAGAGGAGUUUUGGUGGUUUAUUUUGUUGUCAUUUGUGUUGUCUGGAUUAUUUGUAGGGUUGUAAUUCGGAUAUUGUCUUGUGAUUCAAACCCUUCUCUCCUUUUAUUUUCCUAGUUUGUUUGGAGUCGUCUAGUUUCGUUCCAGGGUUUUAACCCCAGUCCUUUUACUUGUUUUGUUGUCCAAGUUCUUUCACCAUAUGUCUAAUGCAAUUUUCUACUUUCCGUUAUUUCUAGUCAUUUGGUUUAGUUUUCUUUUCUUUUUACAAUUCUUUCCCUGUUGGCUUUAAUGACAUGGCAUGCAUGCAUAACCCCAGGCCUGGUCUUAAAAGAUUACUCAUAAGGCAUAUAGAACAUGAAGAAAUCAUAAUAGCAAGUUUACCAAACUGCCAGGGACCAUUUGUUGUAGAUGGAGUAUUGUCCAAGGGUGCAUUAUAUUUGAUGGAUGAGGAAGAGAAAUGUGUAGAAAUGACUAUCAAUUCUGAUGCAGUCAUGAGAUAUUAUGUAUGAUUCCUUUGACUGAUUGUACUUGCUUGGCUUGGUAUAUUUUGAAAAUUGGAAUGACGAAAGCAUUUUAUUUUGCUAUCUAAACACUUUAUCCAUUGCUAACCCUUUUGAGCUUUUAUUAUUUUCUUUCAUACCCCUAUUUCGAAAUCAACAACAGAAAUCAGAAGCGCAAGUGUGAGAACGCAGUGAAAGGAAAAGAAAGGAAUGAAUGAAAAGAAUGGAAAUAAAAGAAAAGAAAAGCAAAUAAAAACAAGAAAAUAAAAGAGAAAAGAGAAAAGAGAAAAAAAAGGAAAAAGAAAGAAAGAAAAAGAAAACAAAAGAAAGGAAAAAAAGAGAGAAGAAAAAAA